RNAcentral lists this ribosomal RNA (442 nucleotides) under uncultured bacterium. RNAcentral's name for it is "partial 16S ribosomal RNA". It matches the Rfam family "Bacterial small subunit ribosomal RNA", at positions 338 to 795 of the family's 1533-position model. The record is from RNAcentral.
CCUACGGGUGGCAGCAGUGGGGAAUAUUGGGCAAUGGGCGCAAGCCUGACCCAGCAACGCCGCGUGAAGGAAGAAGGCUUUCGGGUUGUAAACUUCUUUUGACAGGGAAGAGUAGAAGCCGUUACCUGUCGAAUAAGCCACGGCUAACUACGUGCCAGCGGCCGCGGUAAUACGUAGGUGGCAGCCGUUGUCCGGAUUUACUGGGUGUAAAGGGCGGGUAGCCGGGUUGGCAAGUCAGAUGGGAAAUCCUGGGGCUUAACCGCAGAACUGCAUUUGAAACUGUUGGGCUGGAGUACAGGAGGGGCAGGCGGAAUUCCUGGGGUAGCGGUGAAAUGCGUAGAUAUUAGGAGGAACACCGGUGGCGAAGGCGGCCUGCUGGACAGCAACUGACGGUGAGGCGCGAAAGCGUGGGGAGCAAACAGGAUUAGAUACCCGGGUAGUC